Camelus ferus (Wild Bactrian camel) is the source of this 72-nucleotide transfer RNA. It matches the Rfam family "tRNA". Rfam says of the family: Transfer RNA (tRNA) molecules are approximately 80 nucleotides in length. Their secondary structure includes four short double-helical elements and three loops (D, anti-codon, and T loops). The record is from Rfam. Lineage: Eukaryota; Metazoa; Chordata; Mammalia; Artiodactyla; Camelidae.
GAGGGUUGAGCUCAGUGGCAGAAUGCUUGCUUAGUGUGCAUGAGAUCCUGGGUUCAAUCCCCAGUACCUCCA